UCGAGAAUCAUUCACAAUGGGCGAAAGCCUGAUGGUGCGACGCCGCGUGGAGGAUGACAGCCCUAGGGUUGUAAACUCCUGUCAUGAGAGAGUAAAGACUUAACGCUAAUAUCGUUGGGUCCUGAUAGUAUCUCAAGAGGAAGGGACGGCUAACUUCGUGCCAGCAGCCGCGGUAAUACGAAGGUCCCAAGCGUUGUUCGGAAUUACUGGGCGUAAAGCGUGCGUAGGCGGCAUGGUAAGUCAGAUGUGAAAUCCCGGGGCUCAACCUCGGAACUGCAUCCGAUACUGCCAAGCUAGAGUAGUGGAGGGGAGUCUGGAAUUCACGGUGUAGCAGUGAAAUGCGUAGAUAUCGUGAGGAACACUAGUGGCGAAGGCGAGACUCUGGACACUAACUGACGCUGAGGCACGAAGGCUAGGGUAGCGAAAGGG
RNAcentral lists this ribosomal RNA (429 nucleotides) under uncultured bacterium. Its description in RNAcentral is "bacterial SSU rRNA". It matches the Rfam family "Bacterial small subunit ribosomal RNA", at positions 355 to 776 of the family's 1533-position model. The record is from RNAcentral.